This 433-nucleotide ribosomal RNA is filed under the name uncultured bacterium. RNAcentral's name for it is "partial 16S ribosomal RNA". It matches the Rfam family "Bacterial small subunit ribosomal RNA", at positions 29 to 507 of the family's 1533-position model. The record is from RNAcentral.
AACGAACGCUGGCGGCAGGCCUAACACAUGCAAGUCGAGCGGACCCUUCGGGGUUAGCGGCGGACGGGUGAGUAACGCGUGGGAAUAUGCCCUUCUCUACGGAAUAGUCCUGGGAAAUUGGGGGUAAUACCGUAUACGCCCUUUGGGGGAAAGAUUUAUCGGGGAAGGAUUAGCCCGCGUUGGAUUAGGUAGUUGGUGGGGUAAUGGCCUACCAAGCCGACGAUCCAUAGCUGGUUUGAGAGGAUGAUCAGCCACACUGGGACUGAGACACGGCCCAGACUCCUACGGGAGGCAGCAGUGGGGAAUCUUAGACAAUGGGGGCAACCCUGAUCUAGCCAUGCCGCGUGAGUGAUGAAGGCCUUAGGGUUGUAAAGCUCUUUCAGCUGGGAAGAUAAUGACGGUACCAGCAGAAGAAGCCCCGGCUAACUCCGUG